AACGCUGGCGGCGUGCCUAAUACAUGCAAGUCGAACGAGUUCUCGUUGAUGAUCGGUGCUUGCACCGAGAUUCAACAUGGAACGAGUGGCGGACGGGUGAGUAACACGUGGGUAACCUGCCCUUAAGUGGGGGAUAACAUUUGGAAACAGAUGCUAAUACCGCAUAGAUCCAAGAACCGCAUGGUUCUUGGCUGAAAGAUGGCGUAAGCUAUCGCUUUUGGAUGGACCCGCGGCGUAUUAGCUAGUUGGUGAGGUAAUGGCUCACCAAGGCGAUGAUACGUAGCCGAACUGAGAGGUUGAUCGGCCACAUUGGGACUGAGACACGGCCCAAACUCCUACGGGAGGCAGCAGUAGGGAAUCUUCCACAAUGGACGCAAGUCUGAUGGAGCAACGCCGCGUGAGUGAAGAAGGCUUUCGGGUCGUAAAACUCUGUUGUUGGAGAAGAAUGGUCGGCAGAGUAACUGUUGUCGGCGUGACGGUAUCCAACCAGAAAGCCACGGCUAACUACGUGCCAGCAGCCGCGGUAAUACGUAGGUGGCAAGCGUUAUCCGGAUUUAUUGGGCGUAAAGCGAGCGCAGGCGGUUUUUUAAGUCUGAUGUGAAAGCCCUCGGCUUAACCGAGGAAGCGCAUCGGAAACUGGGAAACUUGAGUGCAGAAGAGGACAGUGGAACUCCAUGUGUAGCGGUGAAAUGCGUAGAUAUAUGGAAGAACACCAGUGGCGAAGGCGGCUGUCUGGUCUGUAACUGACGCUGAGGCUCGAAAGCAUGGGUAGCGAACAGGAUUAGAUACCCUGGUAGUCCAUGCCGUAAACGAUGAAUGCUAGGUGUUGGAGGGUUUCCGCCCUUCAGUGCCGCAGCUAACGCAUUAAGCAUUCCGCCUGGGGAGUACGACCGCAAGGUUGAAACUCAAAGGAAUUGACGGGGGCCCGCACAAGCGGUGGAGCAUGUGGUUUAAUUCGAAGCAACGCGAAGAACCUUACCAGGUCUUGACAUCUUUUGAUCACCUGAGAGAUCAGGUUUCCCCUUCGGGGGCAAAAUGACAGGUGGUGCAUGGUUGUCGUCAGCUCGUGUCGUGAGAUGUUGGGUUAAGUCCCGCAACGAGCGCAACCCUUAUGACUAGUUGCCAGCAUUUAGUUGGGCACUCUAGUAAGACUGCCGGUGACAAACCGGAGGAAGGUGGGGAUGACGUCAAAUCAUCAUGCCCCUUAUGACCUGGGCUACACACGUGCUACAAUGGAUGGUACAACGAGUUGCGAGACCGCGAGGUCAAGCUAAUCUCUUAAAGCCAUUCUCAGUUCGGACUGUAGGCUGCAACUCGCCUACACGAAGUCGGAAUCGCUAGUAAUCGCGGAUCAGCACGCCGCGGUGAAUACGUUCCCGGGCCUUGUACACACCGCCCGUCACACCAUGAGAGUUUGUAACACCCGAAGCCGGUGGCGUAACCCUUUUAGGGAGCGAGCCGUCUAAGGUGGGACAAAUGAUUUAGGGUG
RNAcentral lists this ribosomal RNA (1489 nucleotides) under Lacticaseibacillus casei. RNAcentral's name for it is "bacterial SSU rRNA". It matches the Rfam family "Bacterial small subunit ribosomal RNA". Lineage: Bacteria; Bacillati; Bacillota; Bacilli; Lactobacillales; Lactobacillaceae. The record is from RNAcentral.